This 406-nucleotide ribosomal RNA is filed under the name uncultured bacterium. RNAcentral describes it as "partial 16S ribosomal RNA". It matches the Rfam family "Bacterial small subunit ribosomal RNA", at positions 28 to 526 of the family's 1533-position model. The record is from RNAcentral.
GACGAACGCUGGCGGCGUGCUUAACACAUGCAAGUCGAACGAGUGGCGAACGGGUGAGUAACACGUGAGUAACCUGCCCCUUCUUCUGGAUAACUGCUUGAAAGGGUAGCUAAUACGGGAUAGUGGGGGAUGGGCUCGCGGCCUAUCAGCUUGUUGGUGGGGUGAUGGCCUACCAAGGCGGGGACGGGUAGCCGGCCGGAGAGGGUGGGAGGCCACACUGGGACUGAGACACGGCCCAGACUCCGACGGGAGGCAGCAGUGGGGAAUAUUGCACAAUGGGCGCAAGCCGGAUGCAGCCAUGCCGCGUGUAUGAAGAAGGCCUUCGGGUUGUAAAGUACUUUCAGCGAGGAGGCGUUACUCGCAGAAGAAGCACCGGCUAACUCCGUGCCAGCAGCCGCGGUAAUUC